CGUGAGGGAAAGGCGAAAAGAACCCCGGCGAGGGGAGUGAAAAAGAACCUGAAACCGUGUACGUACAAGCAGUGGGAGCACGCUUAGGCGUGUGACUGCGUACCUUUUGUAUAAUGGGUCAGCGACUUAUAUUCUGUAGCAAGGUUAACCGAAUAGGGGAGCCGAAGGGAAACCGAGUCUUAACUGGGCGUUAAGUUGCAGGGUAUAGACCCGAAACCCGGUGAUCUAGCCAUGGGCAGGUUGAAGGUUGGGUAACACUAACUGGAGGACCGAACCGACUAAUGUUGAAAAAUUAGCGGAUGACUUGUGGCUGGGGGUGAAAGGCCAAUCAAACCGGGAGAUAGCUGGUUCUCCCCGAAAGCUAUUUAGGUAGCGCCUCGUGAAUUCAUCUCCGGGGGUAGAGCACUGUUUCGGCAAGGGGGUCAUCCCGACUUACCAACCCGAUGCAAACUGCGAAUACCGGAGAAUGUUAUCACGGGAGACACACGGCGGGUGCUAACGUCCGUCGUGAAGAGGGAAACAACCCAGACCGCCAGCUAAGGUCCCAAAGUCAUGGUUAAGUGGGAAACGAUGUGGGAAGGCCCAGACAGCCAGGAUGUUGGCUUAGAAGCAGCCAUCAUUUAAAGAAAGCGUAAUAGCUCACUGGUCGAGUCGGCCUGCGCGGAAGAUGUAACGGGGCUAAACCAUGCACCGAAGCUGCGGCAGCGACGCUUAUGCGUUGUUGGGUAGGGGAGCGUUCUGUAAGCCUGCGAAGGUGUGCUGUGAGGCAUGCUGGAGGUAUCAGAAGUGCGAAUGCUGACAUAAGUAACGAUAAAGCGGGUGAAAAGCCCGCUCGCCGGAAGACCAAGGGUUCCUGUCCAACGUUAAUCGGGGCAGGGUGAGUCGACCCCUAAGGCGAGGCCGAAAGGCGUAGUCGAUGGGAAACAGGUUAAUAUUCCUGUACUUGGUGUUACUGCGAAGGGGGGACGGAGAAGGCUAUGUUGGCCGGGCGACGGUUGUCCCGGUUUAAGCGUGUAGGCUGGUUUUCCAGGCAAAUCCGGAAAAUCAAGGCUGAGGCGUGAUGACGAGGCACUACGGUGCUGAAGCAACAAAUGCCCUGCUUCCAGGAAAAGCCUCUAAGCAUCAGGUAACAUCAAAUCGUACCCCAAACCGACACAGGUGGUCAGGUAGAGAAUACCAAGGCGCUUGAGAGAACUCGGGUGAAGGAACUAGGCAAAAUGGUGCCGUAACUUCGGGAGAAGGCACGCUGAUAUGUAGGUGAAGUCCCUCGCGGAUGGAGCUGAAAUCAGUCGAAGAUACCAGCUGGCUGCAACUGUUUAUUAAAAACACAGCACUGUGCAAACACGAAAGUGGACGUAUACGGUGUGACGCCUGCCCGGUGCCGGAAGGUUAAUUGAUGGGGUCAGCGCAAGCGAAGCUCUUGAUCGAAGCCCCGGUAAACGGCGGCCGUAACUAUAACGGUCCUAAGGUAGCGAAAUUCCUUGUCGGGUAAGUUCCGACCUGCACGAAUGGCGUAAUGAUGGCCAGGCUGUCUCCACCCGAGACUCAGUGAAAUUGAACUCGCUGUGAAGAUGCAGUGUACCCGCGGCAAGACGGAAAGACCCCGUGAACCUUUACUAUAGCUUGACACUGAACAUUGAGCCUUGAUGUGUAGGAUAGGUGGGAGGCUUUGAAGUGUGGACGCCAGUCUGCAUGGAGCCGGCCUUGAAAUACCACCCUUUAAUGUUUGAUGUUCUAACGUUGACCCGUGAUCCGGGUUGCGGACAGUGUCUGGUGGGUAGUUUGACUGGGGCGGUCUCCUCCUAAAGAGUAACGGAGGAGCACGAAGGUUGGCUAAUCCUGGUCGGACAUCAGG
Molecule: ribosomal RNA, 1855 nt
Filed under: Escherichia coli
Lineage: Bacteria; Pseudomonadati; Pseudomonadota; Gammaproteobacteria; Enterobacterales; Enterobacteriaceae
Description: partial 23S ribosomal RNA
Rfam family: Bacterial large subunit ribosomal RNA
Source: RNAcentral